CUCAACCCUGGCAGGAGUAUUUGCAGAGGGGCCAAGGCAGGGGGAUCAGUCUGGAGGCUGCAGGACACGCUCACCUACCUGGGGUAGUUUCACCCUAUUCUCCAGCCCCAGUGAUGGCUAAUCCGCUCCAAAUCCAUGGACCUGCAUCCUUGAGCUCUAGGAGGAGUCAAUAAAGAGCCUUUGCUGCUAACGGAGCCCAAAACAUUGAGGAGCUGGGAAGAGGAUGCAGGAACAGUGCAGAGAUGAUAUGGAGUCACUGGGGCUGAUUUUGUUGCCAGUAAAGCAACAAAAGCUAUUUUCUUGUCCAUGAUAGACAGCAUGUGUGCUUCAGCCAUGUGAUCAAGGUAUAAUAACUGCAUUCAAACAGAAGGGAAUUGCAUGUUAUGUCCUGCACACUAUGGAGCAGGACAUCCAGAGGCAUUGAUGUAUAAUCACCAUUCAAAUUGUACAUGCAACCUGGAAUGCUGUCACUUGGUACCAUUGUUAACUGUUUCCCCAAGGCACAUUUCAGCCUGACAACCCAUGAGAUAGCAACUGAUAGAGACCCUGGCACCAGUCACAGAAGCAUGGUCUAUGAUUGCUGAUGAGAAUGCCAUAUUUGAAGAGUUUGUCCAAGCUGAUAGCAAACUUGUGACAUCUGAAACACUGGCCCUCAAGAACAUUGUCAGAAUGGUCAAUAGAUCUGAUGAUAAUGAAUCUAAGAAAGGAGCCAAAGAAGAGCAGGGUAAUGAAGUUUAUGCUCCUGUCCCUGAGAUGGUAUCACACACACAGUCAGUAGGUCAUUUAACCCUAUAUAGGCUGAAAUUGCAGGUCUCCAACCCUAUAUAGAUAGCAUUCCUGAAGUGACAAAUUAUAUUUUCAUUGCUUUGGCUCAUAUACCAAACUUUUUACUAAACAGACCCAUUUCUACUAAGCAAACAAACAUAAAAAAUUUGCUUAACGUUAAAUACAUGUUAAAUGUUCUGUUAUUUCAAAAUUGUAAAUGUGUUUUGAUGUUGCAUGUCUGUUCAACAGACAAGUGUUUUUAUGUUAAACAAAGUGUUCCCUGUUUAAGAAUAUUGUAUGUGCACAUAAAUGGCUUUCUGUACUACAUGCUGUUAAAGCAAUUUAAAUAUGUGCUUUGAUUUUGCAUUUCAAUUAAGCAAACACAGGUAAGUUUUUAAUGUUAAAUGAAGCAUUUUCUGGUGUUUAAAAAUAGUGUGUAAUAAUGUAACUCAUAGUAAUAAUUCAAAGUAUUACUUUCAAUGUAGUGUCAAUAGGACUUUAACCACCCGUAGUCAAGAACAGUGAUUUUUUUUGCUUCACAUGGGCUCCUUAAGGGGUUCAUCAUCAUGGUGAAACUUCAUUGAAGCUUUUCUUAUUGUCAGGGAGUCUAUCAGGUUUUUUUCUCAUGGAUUCUCUGGUGAGCUUGAAGGCAGGAACAUCUGAUGAGGCUUUUCCUAUGGUGACAGCAUUAAUAAGGUUGCCCUCCCACAUAGACUGUCAUGUCCAGGGUCCAGCAGAGACCGCUGUCCUUCAGUGAAACACCAGGCACCUCCCCACAAGUCACCAAUUCCUGAAACGACAAGAAUUUCCCUCUUGGCACUUGAUGCUCUGGCCACCAAUUCCACUACUCUUUGUAGGCAAAGUGCUUCAAAAAAUGGAGACUUUUUACGAGAAUCCCACUACCAACCUGCAUGGAGCAGCCAGGAACUUGAAGCUGUGGGAAGGAAGAGAGAGCCACUAAUCUGUUCCAGCAGGCAGAGAGUGGCAGGGGCCUUCCUAUUAACUGAUAUUCCAUGUUUACUUGUCAGAGGCUGAUAUAAAAGGGACAGUCCUGAGCAGAGUGCUUGUAGGGAUCCAAACAGCUUCUCCAUUCCCAGAAGCUGCCAGGCCUCCCUUGGCCAGAAUAACCCUCCUCUGUUCUUCAUCCACUAAAGAGCAAUCACAUGAGACUCUAGAAGCCAGAAGCCCUCUGUGCCCACCUGCAGCAGAAUCCCAGUCCCACUGGGGAAGAAACCAAUCCAGCAGCAGGCUGGCAGGGCAGGGCAGGGUCUGAAAAGCAGAAGAAAUUUCAUGCCCCCAGUGUGUGCAAGGGCAUUGGUCCCCUGGGAAUGUGUGUGUGUUGUGGGGAGGGUCUUGGCAAGGGCAGUGAAAAGGGUCCAGAAGAGUAAGGGUGGCAUUCUGUGCCCUUCCUAGUCACCCACACAACCAUUUUGUUGUUGUUGUCUAUGUGGCAUUUUUGGCAGUUAUGCACUCAGAGGAAUUCUCUUCCUGGACAUAUAGCCCUGAGUGCCUGAACAACUAUGUACCUGCACAUGGGCUGAGCAUGCACAGUAGCAGCCAGUACCUAUACACAUUUUUGUUGAAAAAUUAUAUAUAUCUAUAUAUCUAUAUCUAUAUCUCUCUCUCUCUUUAUAUAUAUAUAUAACUUCCAUCACAAACCUUUCAUCACACAAGAAGAACCGUGCAUGAGUUACAAUAAAUGUACCCAUUCCCCCAGGGCCCCGCACACCUACCCAUUACCCUUCCCUAACCCAAUCAUAGUCCCUUGGUUCAAAAAAACCCUUUUAUGGUUUAAAAUCUCAGUUCAAUCCCUGUCCUUUUUGCUGUCAAUGCCACUGUCACUGCCACUGCUGCUGAUCCUGUUGCUGACCACUUCGCUGUCAUCAGGUCCGGUUAUGUCUCUGUCCUCAUCAUUCUCACUGUCCUCUUCCCCUCCCGUGGGGUCCUUGAACACCCUGUGUCAAGUGUCUCUCUUCCAGGUGGAGUUGGCUGUCUCUUUUCCAUCCUAUACACAUACCCCUUGCAGACACAUAACAGCCCUAGAUGUCCAAAACUAGAGUCAAGGUGCCAGGAGAUCUGGAGAGAUUAGAUACCUUUAUUGUGCUGGGCCAUGAAGGAUUCAAGUGUAGAACAUACCAGUGGGAGGCUGAUGUAGGAGAUAAGUUUGUCUGAGGGUGGGGGGGAUCUUUGGCCAGCAGGGAAAAGUCAGACACACACCUGCCCCUGGACACUUUUAAAGAGUAAAGAUCAAUACUAUGACUUGCACCUUUCCUUCCACUGUGAGUCCAAAGUGGGUGAGGUAGGUGGGGGGGAGGGGGGGGUCUGGGCUAUGAGAUGGGUGAGGUCUUGUUCUACCAUGUUACUGACUUCAUUUUUACUGCCUUCUCACACCUAUUGUCUCCCAUUCCCUUUGAACCUUACUGUCACGCAUUUGCAUAUUCACAGACUUGCAUUUUGCAUGUUGGCUUCUACUCAGAAGAGCACACAAACACCAACACACUCUCCCUAUGCCUGAAGAAGAGUGUUUGUGCCCGAAAGCUUGCAAAGAACAAUUUUUCUAACUAUUUAGUUGAUCUAAUAAAAGAUAUCACAUCUA
This is a long non-coding RNA of Alligator mississippiensis (American alligator), 3361 nucleotides long. RefSeq lists it as uncharacterized. The transcript has 2 exons. NCBI's taxonomy places the organism in Eukaryota, Metazoa, Chordata, Crocodylia, Alligatoridae. The record is from RefSeq and is a predicted model, not a curated record.